AAUAGAGUUAGGAUUGAUCGAAGUCUUGUCUUAACGAAACAAAAUAUGCCAACCUUUGUGAAAUGAAGGAAGUACAACCUUAGUGAUCGACUGCUUGUAGGAAUAAAUUUGCCCGAGAAACCAUGAAGAUGGUUGUAACCGUUUAGGAAACGACUUUUUGUCUGGGAACACCAGGAAGAUGGUUGUAACCGUUCAAGAAACAAUUUUUUGUAAGCCGACUCAGGAUCUUGUAGUUAACCCUGCACCCACCAAAUAUAUAAGGAGGGGCAGGGGGUUACCUGAGUGGUAUGACUCAUAGCAUACGCCGAAAAUUUAGAAAUUUCGAGAACUCUUGUCAUGCAUCGUGAUCUACGCUUGAGACACCAUCAAUACGAUCCACCAAACCCCACGAGUAGGGUAUUGCCUCUUUUCGAGGGCGAACAAGCGUAAAUUUCAUGGCACUUGCGUACCAUUGUGAUCUACUUCCCAUGCAUUGCCCUUGGAUCAAUUUUGCCAACUAAAACACCAACAAGUGCCACGUGUCAUGCCCUUAUCUUGCACACUAGAUCCUUGGACAGCAACAACCUCCGGCUGUCGGGUGGCUGACAUGUAUUGUCACUUGAUAAAAGAGGGAAAAGGCCCUGAACUAUUAGCUCUUGCUAUUUUUUCAUAACUUAAUCCAAUACCUUUUUUUUACUGUGCCUUGACUUUUAAUGAUGUGCACAUGUGACAACUUAUUCAGCGUAAACAAUGAUAAAACAAAAUAUUUGAAACCAACCAAGGGGGCUAUGGAAAAAUGCAAAAAGAAUGUAAACAUUAUAGAACUAAGAAGUUCUGAGACAUCAUGGAACAAGGAGGAAAAAUAAAAAAUAUAUAAUAAAAACAACAAAAAUACAAAAACGUUUCAAAAAAAUAGGCAUGUUAAAUUAGAAAUCGAAUAGUGGCUAAUUAAUACACUCCGCGGGAGCCAUUUUCCUUUUAGAAAAAAAACCAUCACACUUAUCUUAUUGAUCAUAAAAAUAGUUACAUCGCU
Molecule: long non-coding RNA, 1012 nt
Filed under: Brachypodium distachyon (stiff brome)
Lineage: Eukaryota; Viridiplantae; Streptophyta; Magnoliopsida; Poales; Poaceae
Description: long non-coding RNA (BDIS_LNC000456)
Source: RNAcentral